RNAcentral lists this ribosomal RNA (245 nucleotides) under uncultured archaeon. Its description in RNAcentral is "partial 16S ribosomal RNA". It matches the Rfam family "Archaeal small subunit ribosomal RNA", at positions 474 to 718 of the family's 1478-position model. The record is from RNAcentral.
CACUAGCGCCACGAGUGGGGAUCACAUUUACUGGGUCUAAAACGUUCGUAGCCGGUUUGUUAAAUCUCUUGUGAAAUCGUCAGGCUUAACUUGACGACGUGCAGGGGAGACUGGCAAACUAGGGACUGGGAGGGGUUGGAGGUAUUCAACGGGGAACAGUAAAAUGUUAUAAUCCGUUGAAGACCACCUGUGGCGAAGGCGUCCAACUAGAACAGAUCCGACGGUGAGGAACGAAAGCCAGGGGA